CCCUUAGAUGUUCUGGGCAGCACGCGCGCUACAAUGGUCUUCGCAAACAGAUGCAUUCUCGAAGGAGAAUGCCAAUCUUGGAAUCUAUGCCUUGGUCGGGACAGUUGCUUGCAAUUUUUCGACUCGAACCAGGAAUUCCUUGUAAUCGUGAUUCAUCACAUCACGAUGAAUGCGUCCCUGCCCUUUGUACACACCGCCCGUCGCUCCUACCGAUCGAAGAGUUAGGUGAAUUGUUUUGAUCGAUAAGAUUUGACUAUGGUCAACUCUCGUUGUGAAAUUCUGUGAAUCUGACUGUUUAGAGGAAGGAAAAGUCGUAACA
This 319-nucleotide ribosomal RNA is filed under the name uncultured eukaryote. Its description in RNAcentral is "partial 18S ribosomal RNA". It matches the Rfam family "Eukaryotic small subunit ribosomal RNA", at positions 1470 to 1796 of the family's 1831-position model. The record is from RNAcentral.